RNAcentral lists this ribosomal RNA (978 nucleotides) under uncultured bacterium. RNAcentral describes it as "bacterial SSU rRNA". It matches the Rfam family "Bacterial small subunit ribosomal RNA", at positions 8 to 981 of the family's 1533-position model. The record is from RNAcentral.
AGAGUUUGAUCCCUGGCUCAGGAUGAACGCUAGCGGCAAGCUUAAUACAUGCAAGUCGAGGGGCAGCAUGACUGUAGCAAUACAGUUGAUGGCGACCGGCAAACGGGUGAGUAACGCGUACAUGACCUGCCUGUCAGAAGGGGAUAGCCCUGGGAAACUGGGAUUAAUACCCUAUGGUAUUGAUAUUAUGAAUGAUAUCAAUUAAAGUUGAGGCGCUGACAGAUGGAUGUGCGUCUGAUUAGCUAGUUGGUAGGGUAACGGCCUACCAAGGCGACGAUCAGUAGGGGGCGUGAGAGCGUGGUCCCCCACACUGGUACUGAGACACGGACCACACUCCUACGGGAGGCAGCAGUGAGGAAUAUUGGUCAAUGGGCGCAAGCCUGAACCAGCCAUGCCGCGUGCAGGAAGACGGUCCUAUGGAUUGUAAACUGCUUUUAUUUGGGAAUAAACCUCCUUACGUGUAGGGAGCUGAAGGUACCCGAUGAAUAAGCCACGGCUAACUACGUGCCAGCAGCCGCGGUAAUACGUAGGUGGCAAGCGUUGUCCGGAUUUAUUGUGUUUAAAGGGUGCGUAGGUGGUUUGCUAAGUCAGUGGUGAAAGCUGGUUGCUCAACAAUCAAGUUGCCAUUGAUACUGUCAGACUUGAGAGAAGUGGAGGCUCAUGGAAUGGAUGGUGGUAGCGGUGAAAUGCAUAUAUAUCAUCCAGAACGUCAAUUGCGAAGGCAGUGGGCUGUACUUUUUUCUGACACUGAGCACGAAAGGCGGUGGGGGAUCAAACAGGAUUAGCAUACCCCUGUCAGUCCACGCUAGUAACGAUGCGACUAUCUUUUUUUGGUUAAGAGAUUAGGAGGCUAAAGGAAACCGAUAGUCCGCCAGCUGGAGGAGUACGCGGCACGAUGCACUCAAUAUUUGGACGGGCUCGCAAUGCGGGGAUACGUGGGUUUUACAUGUCGGAAUGGACAUACGUCGGAGAGAUACU